CAGGCAGGCCAAGGGGGAACUAACACCAGUGUUAGAGAUGAGCUAACGGAGGCUAGAGAAGCUCAGAGUCUCACCAGGAUCAUGCGGUGACUUGGGGCAGAGACAGAGGCUGACCCAGUUCUCCUGACUCCUAGUGCAGUUGCGGCUUCCCACACAGCAGCUCAACCCGACCCUGAGUAUGCCCGCGUCCGCGGAGCCCAUCUGGGGACUGGUUCUUGAUGCUGUCAUCCGGACUUGGAUUGUGGUUAUAUUCUUGGUCCACUGGCCCUGACCCACUCUGACCCACCAUUCUUGGUGGCACCUAGGCGUCCUGCUCUUUAGGCCAUUUGCUCUGAACCUUCCUUCAGGCUCUUUCCCCAUCCCCGGCCCCGCCUCCGUCCUCUCUGGAACAUGAAGUACUCUCAUGACAUGCCUACCACCCUUGGAGGGCAGGGGAUGGUGCCAGCUUUCCUGCCUUAGAGAUCAUGCCUGAAGGGAAAGCAACACGACUUACUCUUCCUGCCGUGGAUGUACCCGGCGGACGGUCGUCGUGUUUCUACGUGGCCAUGUUAUUCAUAGAUCCCACACAGCGAUCCGCUGCUGAGCUUGGUGUAUGCAACCAAAAUGGCACCCUGUGGAGAGUUUGCUGGGCUCAAAGCUGGAAUCUCUGCCUUCUGACCGCAGCUCUGCCUCCUUGGAGCUGUACGAACUCAGGGUGCAAGGAGGACCAUCACACCAGCUUGCAGGGUUGGCGUGAGGAUUAGAGGCGACGCCUGGCGCACAGUAGGUACACAGUAGGCACGGUGAGGUUUGUUCAUCUGAUGACGAUGAUGCUUCUGCUGCCAGUGGGCAAACCAGAUUCGUGCACGCUCUCUCUCGAGAAGGGAACAGCAUGCCAAAGAUAGCCAAAGUGUGGGACUGGAAGAGAGCCAAGAUAACUCCAGGACUCCAAUUGUUAUUUCUCUACUACUUGGAGAUACGAGAUUCUCAGUCCUUCAAAGCAUCAAAGGAUUUUAGGAGAGGAAAUUUGGUGUUGUGGCUAAGCCACGGGGCUUUGAAGUCAAGAGCCGAGUUCCUAACAGUUUCCGGAUCUGCCCCUUCCGACUGUACGACCUUGGGCAAGUUACUUCUCUUCUGUAAGCCUUAGUUUCUGUAUCAUAAAAUGGGGCUAUCAGCAGUGCCCCUCUUGUAGGGCAUGGUGGGGAUUAAAUAAGAUAAUAUUUAUAAAAUUAGGGUGAAUAUGUACCUAUCUUCCAAACCAGGACACUUUUGAAGGGGCAAAGAGAUGCUAUUAAUAAUUGUCCAGCAACCCAGGACUGCCCCAGGCAAACCAGGGCAAACGGCUACCCGGCACGAAGGGCCU
Molecule: long non-coding RNA, 1342 nt
Filed under: Ursus maritimus (polar bear)
Lineage: Eukaryota; Metazoa; Chordata; Mammalia; Carnivora; Ursidae
Description: lncRNA (ENSUMAG00000023074.1)
Source: RNAcentral